GAGGGUAUAGCUCAAUUGGUAGAGUGCACGCUUAGCAUGCACGAAGUCCUGGGUUAAAUCCCCAGUACCUCCU
RNAcentral lists this transfer RNA (73 nucleotides) under Camelus bactrianus (Bactrian camel). It matches the Rfam family "tRNA". From Rfam's summary of the family: Transfer RNA (tRNA) molecules are approximately 80 nucleotides in length. RNAcentral also lists the same sequence under 2 other names. The record is from Rfam by way of RNAcentral. Lineage: Eukaryota; Metazoa; Chordata; Mammalia; Artiodactyla; Camelidae.